GCAGGGCCUCACAGGCCGUGAGAAGCAUUCGGUUGCAGCCUUCGAACUUUGAGGAGCCACGGAAGGGCUCCUGACAGGGGACAGACAGAAUCAGUUUCAAAGUCUUCACUUAACAUGAAAAUGGAACCUUGGCUGGACGUCUGAACAGCGGAGCAAAAUCUCAUUAAUUGCAAGAACCAUAAUCCACUCUACACGAGGAGGAGAGGCGGCUGAAGUUUACCCUUGUCGUAACUAUAAAAAAAAGGAGUCAGCUAUGGAAAUUAAGCAUCUGAAUAAAAAUGGCUUCAUCUA
This is a long non-coding RNA of Leopardus geoffroyi (Geoffroy's cat), 291 nucleotides long. RefSeq lists it as uncharacterized. The transcript has 2 exons. NCBI's taxonomy places the organism in Eukaryota, Metazoa, Chordata, Mammalia, Carnivora, Felidae. The record is from RefSeq and is a predicted model, not a curated record.